GUCUAACUCUGGAUAACAGCUCGAGUCCAGAUCAACAUUUUCCACAGAUCUCAACUCAGUAACUAUGUGGAAGCUGGAAGACCUAAGGCAUUUAUUCUAAGACUGCAAAGCUACCAAGUCUGCAUAUUGUGACCAUGGGGCAAUACACAAUGAUUUGUAAAACAGAAAGGAAAAUGUUACCAGGAAAGAGGGUAAGGAUAAAAAUAUCUCUGCUGAUUUUGAACUGCCAGACAUAAAGGCACUUACCAGAGCAGACUGUGGAGAUGUGCACCCAAAGGAGGCCUUAAGGGCAUGCUUUGAUAUUAUUUCAGAUUCAGAGGAAUGUCUGCUUUGUGCUAAUUUGUGUAAGUGUAGUUGGCUUGCAUAUAGAC
Vidua chalybeata is the source of this 371-nucleotide long non-coding RNA. RefSeq lists it as uncharacterized. Lineage: Eukaryota; Metazoa; Chordata; Aves; Passeriformes; Viduidae. The record is from RefSeq and is a predicted model, not a curated record. The transcript has 3 exons.